Molecule: unclassified non-coding RNA, 1056 nt
Filed under: Hevea brasiliensis (rubber tree)
Lineage: Eukaryota; Viridiplantae; Streptophyta; Magnoliopsida; Malpighiales; Euphorbiaceae
Source: RNAcentral
UUUUUUUUUUUUUUUUUUGCCCCAUUUAUAUAGCCUUCAUUCUUUUUAUUUCCAAUCAAUGUGGGAAUCCUCCACAUUCCAACACCCCACCCCCUCCCUCAGUUGUCACUUGGCAUUGCAUGGGAUGACCCAUUUACUUGGGUCUGACUCUUGGUUUUGCUCUUAGAGUCUGGCUCCCCAUAACUAAUCCAUGGGUCCAUCUGAGUCUGGUCCUUUUUUGACUCAGCUCACAGGUGUGGCUCAUUGCGAUCUAGCCCACCAUGGUUUCAGGUCCUGGAUCUACAACCGUUGGGCCUCACUGCUCCAAUACCAUGUUGAGAAUUGCAGACCCAGGGAGUGAAUCCAUAAAACAAGCUGGAUCUGCCGGAGUUGGGCUUUGGAUUUGGGCUCCCAUCACCAAAAUGGCUUUUUGCCAUUUUGGUUUGGUUUUGUCCCAUUUAUAUAGCUUUCAUUCUUAUCUCAAGCCAAUGUGGGAAUCCUCCAUAUUCCAACAAUGAAAAUCUUUUUGGAGAAGGCUAAAAAAGAUCUAAUAAUUUAUUGAAGUUUGGACCAUGUUGCCAUGUGCUAGCUUCUGAAAAAUGCAUAUUUCUUUGCUCAUGCUGCUGUUAUUUAAUGUUCUACAUUAGAGAGUAGAGAAUAAAUGCUAUAUUCAUAAUUGAUUGAUUUUUUUUUUAUAACAUAGGUGUCAACUUUACAAUGUUAACUUGAGCUACAAUUCUUAAUUCUUAUUUUGUUAAUUGUUCCAUUGGAGGUCAAAUAUCCAUGUGACCAAUCAUUUGCAAGUGUGCUCUUAUAUAUGUUGUUGCAUUCUGAUUGUACCAUUGAAGUUGUGAUAAUAAAUAAUAGAUAAGCUAGUGUUUCAGAAAGGAGCAUGCACAUGUGUGCAAUCUGUGAUUCUAUUUAUCCACCAUGCACACAAAUAGUGACAUAAACACAUGCACACACAGAGGGGUUGGUCAAUUAUGUUACUCAUGGAAUCCUAACUUUUCACAGCCUGUUCAUAAGUGGAUGGUUCGUCAUAUCUACUUUCCAUGCUUACGGCAUAAAGUACCAAAG